This 30-nucleotide non-coding RNA is filed under the name Mus musculus (house mouse). Lineage: Eukaryota; Metazoa; Chordata; Mammalia; Rodentia; Muridae. The record is from RNAcentral.
UGUGUAGACUUGACAUGAUUAUUAAUGCCC